GAACGUGGAGUCUCUUAUAUGGACUUACAAUACCAUUAAGAAAAAUUAAGCAAGAGAAUUAAGCAGGAAGAGGGGAAUCGCUGGAAUUUAUAGAAAAUUCCUCACUGCAGAAAUUAUACAAAAGGAUAGAAAGGGCGAACAUCCAGUAAACUCCUAUAGGAAUCAUAGCCACGGCCAUACUGGGGAGGUAAAUAAAAACAUAACUGCCAAAAAGCCAACACAACCAACCGCAAAGAAGCGUGAUAUAAGCAUGCUUCAUAUCCAUCCUAAACUUAUCGGAUAGCUGAAUCAGACCUAUCCCACCGGUGAACAACGAUAUGGUGAAUAACGUACGACAUGUAUAACCAUACGUCAUGAUCAGGAUGAUCCACCAAAAGAUAAGGAGAACAAAAUAACGCCAGUAUAGAAAACUCCGCAAACACAACCUGAGGAAUCCUCUCUUUGUCUGUAGUGAAAUCCUUGUAGCAAUUACUGGAGGGAGUUGUCCGGACGAGGUAGUCCAAGUGGAAGGACGGGCCUGUGGUGGCAACCACCAUCCGGGUUCGAUCCCCCAUGCGGAAACUACCCUGCCUCAUCUGGACACCAAAGCGGGUACUGGGCUUUCGGGCUCAGGGAAAAACCUCCCGGGUGAAGCUGGUCUGCUGCCUGUACUAAUAAUAAUAAUUAUUAUCUAAAAUUUAAAAUAUUAAUUUUAAAAUAAAAAAAUAAUUCUUAUAGAUAUUAUGUUGCUAUCCUAAAAUUUUAAAAUUCAAAAACAGAAAAUACAUAACUAGGUUUUUAAUUUUAUACUAAAUGUUUUACCAGCAGCACUUGUGGGUAUAAAAUUUAACAUUUAGAUCUAAAAAUCCGAUCGGACCCAAAAACACAAAAAAAAACUUCAAAAAGAAUUUGUAACUGCACAAAGCCAUACCAUGCAUGGAACAAACCCAACCCCAAACGAAGUAGCCGUUAACAGAACACAUACAUCCUUAAACAACUCAAACUGUAACCCUUGUCUUCACUUCAUUAUACUUCUCCUCCUCGCAAUAACGAGAGAUCAGCAAACUCGUAUCUCUCUGGCUCCCACUCGUUGAAUAUAUCUUGUGCUCCUUUUACAUCGUCUAGCUUGAACAAAGAUGUAAUCACACUUCUAUACCCUUCAUCAUUACUCAUGCUCCCCACGUUAUCUUUCUUAAUUGUACUCAUUCCACAGACGGUAAACUUCUUUUUUUAGUCGAUGUUAUCUCUACAGCCUUUAGUGUUGACCCUUCUGUUUCAGAAG
This 1261-nucleotide long non-coding RNA is filed under the name Brassica napus (rape). RNAcentral describes it as "long non-coding RNA (BNAP_LNC013422)". Lineage: Eukaryota; Viridiplantae; Streptophyta; Magnoliopsida; Brassicales; Brassicaceae. The record is from RNAcentral.